GACGAACGCUGGCGGCGUGCUUAACACAUGCAAGUCGAACGGAAAGGCCCUGCUUUUGUGGGGUGCUCGAGUGGCGAUCGGGUGAGUAACACGUGAGUAACCUGCCCUUGACUUUGGGAUAACUUCAGGAAACUGGGGCUAAUACCGGAUAGGAGCUCCUGCUGCAUGGUGGGGGUUGGAAAGUUUCGGCGGUUGGGGAUGGACUCGCGGCUUAUCAGCUUGUUGGUGGGGUAGUGGCAUACCAAGGCUUUGACGGGUAGCCGGCCUGAGAGGGUGACCGGCCACAUUGGGACUGAGAUACGGCCCAGACUCCUACGGGAGGCAGCAGUGGGGAAUAUUGCACAAUGGGCGGAAGCCUGGUGCAGCAACGCCGCGUACGGGAUGACGGCCUUCGGGUUGUAAACCGCUUUCGCCUGAGACGAGGCGUGAGUGACGGUAAUGGGUAAAGAAGCACCGGCUAACUACGUG
This 468-nucleotide ribosomal RNA is filed under the name uncultured bacterium. Its description in RNAcentral is "partial 16S ribosomal RNA". It matches the Rfam family "Bacterial small subunit ribosomal RNA", at positions 28 to 507 of the family's 1533-position model. The record is from RNAcentral.